This 474-nucleotide ribosomal RNA is filed under the name uncultured bacterium. RNAcentral describes it as "bacterial LSU rRNA". It matches the Rfam family "Bacterial large subunit ribosomal RNA", at positions 448 to 906 of the family's 2925-position model. The record is from RNAcentral.
GAAGACCACUCUCCAAGCCUAAGUACUCCUCAGUGACCGAUAGUGAACAAGUACCGUGAGGGAAAGGUGAAAAGACAACCCCGAACAAAGGGGAAUGAAAUAGACCUGAAACCAAACGCCUACAAGCAGUCGGAGCAGAACAUGCGCAAGCAUGGGUUUGUGACGGCGUACCUCUUGCAUAAUGAGUCAGCGAGUUCGUUUAUGUAAGCAAGCUUAAGCCGAUAGGUGGAGGCGCAAGCGAAAGCGAGUCUUAAUAGGGCGAUAGUUACAUGGAUGAGACCCGAAACCUAGUGAUCUAGCCAUGGGCAGGCUGAAGGUGCGGUAAAACGUACUGGAGGGCCGAACCCACCACUGUUGCAAUAGUGGGGGGAUGACCUGUGGUUAGGGGGUGAAAGGGCUAAUCAAACUAGGAAAUAUCUGGUUCUCCGCGAAAUCUAUUUAGGUAGAGCGUCAUGUAUAACCAUCGGGGGUAGA